AUCCCAUGAUUCAGACACUUCCUCAUCAUCUCCUUAAAUCUGUCCCUUGCUUUGUGAUAGCUUUCUCCAUCUUUUUGUUGAAAUGUUUGAAUUUUCAUUCUGAUUUU
This 107-nucleotide small nucleolar RNA is filed under the name Olea europaea subsp. europaea. Its description in RNAcentral is "Plant small nucleolar RNA R71". It matches the Rfam family "Plant small nucleolar RNA R71". Rfam says of the family: R71 is a member of the C/D box family of snoRNAs containing the C (UGAUGA) and D (CUGA) box motifs. Lineage: Eukaryota; Viridiplantae; Streptophyta; Magnoliopsida; Lamiales; Oleaceae. The record is from Rfam by way of RNAcentral.